ACUGUGAACAGAACUAUUCAUGCAUACCAACGAAUAAAGUACAUUGAUGUUCUGCAUGUGCGAAUAUCUUGUUACAAUGUGAAUAAUUUAAAGAAACGUAAAAUCUUCUUUUAGAUGUUUUGCAUCUGUUGUCUAUAAUUUAAGAAAUAUAUCCAAAAUAUAAAUCCAAAUUAUAGUGGUAUACAAAACAUAAGACAUAAGUAGUUAGAAUAGUGGAAAACCAUUAAAAUAAUUACUAUACUUAAAAUUAUCAAAAUAUAGCAAACAAUAAAAAUAUUAAAAUUUGUUAUUCGCACAUACUUGAUUAACAUGUUAUACUAAAUAUAGUAACACAUUAUAACACUGCCUAAUAUUAAAUAAAUAUUAUGCCCAAUAUUGUAACAGACCACGCAUUACAUUAAUAUUCACUAAGGCUCGGCAAUCAAUGAGAGCAAUUUUGAUUGAAAAGAUAUCGUAAUCAGUUCUACGCUUGUAUUUUUGAUAAAAGUGAGAUAAAGUAGCACAGAUUUGCCAAAACCUUUCCCUCUUCAUACUUGGCAGCGUUUCGUAUAUACAUAUGUAUAUCAAUCAACGACCGUGUUCAGAAGUUUUUUUUUUGAUUUCUUAUAGUUUGUACAGUUUAUAUUGAAAUGGUUUGUGUUAUAUAAAUUAAAAUGUUAAAGAUAUCGUACAACAUCCUGAACGCGUUCGACAAGGCGUUAGGACCAAGCAAACAAGCAGAGUCAUGCAAAUGCAAUCUUCACAUGCAUCAAUUCUCUACUUGCUUUAUUACGUACCUCAUAAUGUUUGUAUCUAUAUCUCAUAUUAUUACAACUUAUCAUAUCAAAAAUAAGAUGUCAAAACAUAAAUAAGAUAUUAAAACGAUACUAGUUCUUCAUAUAUUUUAAUAUCGAAUAAUGUGUUUAUCGCAUUAUUUUAUCGUACUUUUUAAUUAACAUUUUGCUAUAUGAGAAAAUAGGUAUUAGGUAUUAUUCACAAAAUGAAAUUAUAAACGAUAUGAUUUUGUAUACUAUCAAUUAGUGAAUUGAUAAAGUAUGGGCUUGUGUAAAAGUUCCACAAACAUGCUAAAUGUUAACAAUGCGGUUCAAUGCAAAAACAAUUUCUCAAGCUAUUGUUGGUUAAUAUAAUUGCAAAGAAAGCAAGAUUUAGAAUUUAUUUGAAAGAAUCACCUUUGCAAGCCAUUUUGGAAGGAUUAACACGGAUUAAAUCUGAAGAUAGGAGAAUGGGAACGUAACUCCAAAGAUUUUGACCAUUACAUCAAGCUUUGUUCAAUGAAAACGCACAAAUAAAAGAUAGCAUGUGAUACGAAAAUUAUUUAUCAGGAAAGUAUAUUACAUUUUGUGAACAAAAACCAAGAUACGUUACAUUAGAUUAUUAGAUACAUUAUUUAUUUUAUCAGGCAAUGUUGCAGGAAAGUCUCAUUGAAAUAUUGUCAUUCUGAAAAUCUCAAAUGAUCUUGUAAAAAUUCAAAACUUUUGUAAAACAACAGAAUUAUAUAAUUGUAAUACUCUAUAAUGAAACGUUUGAACUAAACAGUAAUUUCCUUGCACAACUUCUCAUGCACAGUAAUUAGUUUGCUUGUAACUAUGUUUGUAAAGAAACCAUUUCUUGAACAACUUCGGAUAUUUCUUAAAAUACAAUGUAGUGAAAGAAUACGUCUUUAUAUUUUAAAGAUAUAUCACUAAUCUUCAUAAUUUUUUACUUGUCACAAAUUUUAUAAUAGAUAUAUCACUGAUCUAAGAUCUUUCUGUCUAAUUAAUAUACUUUAAAUAACUGUUAAACUAACUUUUAAUGAUCUAUACCGUAAUUAGUUUCGAAAUUAUAUGAUGUAUUAUGUGAUGCA
Molecule: long non-coding RNA, 1843 nt
Organism: Bombus terrestris (buff-tailed bumblebee)
Lineage: Eukaryota; Metazoa; Arthropoda; Insecta; Hymenoptera; Apidae
Exons: 2
Source: RefSeq, a predicted model, not a curated record